CGCCUCCCUCUCUCUCUCAUUUGACCUCAUCUCUAUUCUCUUCAUAAACACAAACGAAAUCGAAGAUCCAUCGAAAAAAUCAAUCAAUAACAUCAGCUCUUCCCUAUUCUCUUCAUCAAUACCAGCUGAAAACGAAGAUUCAUCAGCUCUUCUCGUUGCUCAUCAUUAACAAAAUCCAUCAGCAGAUCAGUUCUUGAGGAUUUGUUGUGAAUCGAUGAAGAACAGUCAAUGAGGAGCACCAACAAUAUUUGAGAGUAAUUAUGUGUUGUCUAAAGCAAUUAGUAAUUGUACCGAAAUUCAAGAUUAUACCUCUUCGAUGGUAUGUUGUUGGUAAGGGAAACCCUAAUUUUGUUUUUGCUUUGAUUGAUGCUGGUGUGAAUUUUAGGGAUUUAUCAAAUGGGAUUUUUUUUUGUUUGAGAUUGAUGGUUCAAUUGAUGGUUGUUUGCAGUUGUUAAUUCCAAAAAUUUGUAUGAAUGGGUGUGUAUACUUAGCUCAGCAAUGGAUUUACUUAUAAUGGUAUAGAAGUUGAUUAAUCUAAACACCAAACCUGCAGUUUGAGAUAACACUAUUAUCUGCUCAUACAGCUGAUGGAAUCGUUGCUUGGCGAGGUUAGAGAGGAGUUCAAACAUCGGUUGGCGACCCAGAAUGAACCGAUAAGCUUCUCUUUGCUUUGUUAGUAAUAAAGAAACAAGAGAUUUAUAGUAAUAAAGAAACAUAAGUAUUGUGGAUUGUCUGGCAGGUGGUGGUGGUGGAUACCAAGGAGGAGGAGAUCAGGGAGGGUGUCUUGGUGAUGGAUAUCAAGGUGGGGGAGAUCAAAAAGAAACAAGAGAUUUCUUAGUAACAAAGUAACAUGUUUGGCAUGUGGUGGUGGUGGAUACCAAGGAGGAGAUUGGAGAAGGUGUCUUGGUGGAUGAGAUCAUGGAGGUAGUGGUAGCUGAAGAGAUGGUGAUUGGAUGUGCCCUAAUUCAAGGUAUUUUUCCAUGUACUGAACACGGAGGAUAUGGAAAAUGUUUGCGGAUAUACCUGCCAUUUGAUCAGGAUCCAUUGAUAGUUUGUUUCUAAAUCAUGCUGAUUUUGUGCAUUGAACGGAUGACAUCUGCUGAAUCAUCUAGAAUGACACUUGUGUCUCAUUUAAAAGAGGCUCUCCAGGGGCAGGAAUUUGAGCUGGAACAAGUACGCAUUCUGCUUCAGUUGUGUUUUUCUAGGAGUUUGGAGAAGGAGCAUACUUGGAAGUGUACAAGGAACUUAAAGCAUGGCAACUUGAAGGCUAUAAGUGUGGGGGAGUGAUGCUUAGAUGUCUUGGAGGGUAAAGUGCGAUAAUGUGCAACUGAGCAAACAUGGAAGGCUUCUUUAUUCAAUGUGCACUUCAUAGCUGAGAGGACAAUGAUGAAGAUGCUGAUGCACAAGAGGGUGGGGGAAGUUUACCUAGUGCAGAACCAUAAUUUGCUGAGGUUCAGAAGAAGCAAAAACUGAUCAAAGAUUUGCAAGAUGCGGGUACUCCCGCAACAAACACAGAUGCAUAAAUUGAAGCAUUCAGAAAGGAUUCUGCUCGUGCUAAAGUGUAUGAGUUUAGAAACUAAAUUUCAUUGGGUAUAUUGAUUGUAUGUUAUUGGCCUGAAUAAAUUGUUCAAGUGGAAGACUUUGUUGUUUAGUGGGCAUUCAGUGUGUCUCUCAGUAGCCUGGAUUUGUCCUGAAAACGU
This is a long non-coding RNA of Papaver somniferum (opium poppy), 1700 nucleotides long. RefSeq lists it as uncharacterized. Lineage: Eukaryota; Viridiplantae; Streptophyta; Magnoliopsida; Ranunculales; Papaveraceae. The transcript is spliced from 7 exons. The record is from RefSeq and is a predicted model, not a curated record.